UGUGUGUGUGUGUGUGUGUGUGUGUGUGUGUGUGUGUGUGUGUGUGUGCGUUUGGAUCUGUCCGAUCUCGAAGCCCCACCCUCAAUCGCAAUCAGUGUGUCAAUGGCGAGCACGCACUCGUCCACACACGAACACAACAGGCAUGCAGAUUAAGACACAUGCGACCACCCAUCACAUUUUCUUGAUUCAAGUUUCAGCUGUACUGUACCUUUUUUCAUCACUGCAAGCGUACAGUUGGCUUGUCUCCAGUUCUUUGGCUUUCAAACCGUUUCUGUCUUCAUUUGAAUGAAGCGGCAGAUGCGCACGGUGAGAAGAGAGCAAAUAGGAUUCAUGGACUCAACCAUUUUACAGGGGAGGGGGGACAUAAAGAUUUUAGUUCUUAAACUUAAACAAGUUACCAAUGAGAUCAACAGCUUCAGUAGCAAAAAAUAUAAUAACAUUCACUAAAUGUAUAUUAUUUGGAGACACUUCUAACAACCUGGGUGGCAAGUGGGGUGGCAAGCAUUUUUUGGGGGGUGGCAGCUGCCACCCCUUGCCACCCCGGUAGUUUCGCCACUGUAUACUGUGAUGUCUAGGAUGAUUAUUUUAAUGUCCUUGGUCAGCUCUGUCAUCAUCAGCUGCAGCAAGAACAGUGCUGUUAAAAAGAUGGAGAACCGGUUUGAUGUAGGACACACUGACAUACUGUUCUCCAGUCAGCACGUCUGUGAAUUCCAGCAGUGGGCUGAAGGUCUUGCUUAAGGUACGGCCACACCAACCGCGUUACCCGCGUACGACGAGUAUAAAAUCGGCAAUUUUUCCAUAGGGAACCAUUGGUUUACGCGUGUAUGAGCUGCGUAGAUUCGUUACAUGCGCUAAAGCAACAUUUUAGCCGCGUUAGCUGCGUAUGUGCUGCGUAUAUAUACUCACCUACGAGCAUACGCGCAGAGUUAAAAAAAUGUAACUUUUUACGCUCCUACGCAUGACGAUUAGCCGCGUUGCCCAAUCAGCGUUGAGCUUGACCCGACGUCACUGGCAGAGAGGCAAACUGUCUGAAGAGGUAGUUCUCCACAAACAGAGAUGGAUCGCGGACUGCAAGAGAUGUGCUCCCAGAUGGAGAUUAACAUGGGUAUGUGUUGAAUUUCAUGAAAAUAUCGUAUAGCAGUUUGAGUUGUUAAUUUAUCUUUGUCUCAGUUACGUUGAGAAGCGUAUUUUUUCUGAAAGUGUAAAUGAAUGCUAGUCUUAUUUCCUUAACAUACGUUAGCUUUGUUGUGUUUGACGUUUUUAUUAGCUUAUGAUAGAUACCCAGUAAAGACAUUUAAAUAUGCUUGAUUGAAAAUUAAAAUAUAAUAAUCAGAUAUUACCUUCUCUGAAAGGUAAUAGUUGGUUGUGAGUAAUACGUAGGCUAUUUAACAAAAGUGCGUUGAGUAGAAAAGUGCUACAUAGUUCCCGUACGACCCUGGUGCUACACAAGGUGCUAAAAAGUAGCGCUUUAGCUGCUAGUUUGUAGAACAAUGUUACGCCCACAGUUGUAAGAUGUGUCUGCAUUUGCUGCUGUAGGGUGCGUAGAAAGUUGAGGUUUGUUACAAUGUAAUAUACAUAUUCACGGUACCGAUGUCCUCUCCGAUCCGCAGACGCACUUGACCAGCCACCAGCGGAUGCGGUGGUAAUCAUUGGCAAUAACUGGCCCCACACCGCUGUUUUGCUCCUCAUAGAGACCUGGAGGUCUCUUAAGGAGAAGUUUGAGUGUCCCACCAUAAAAAAAAAACAAGCUUGGGAGAUGGUUUCGGAGUGCCUCAGAAAGGAAGCAGUUAAUGUGACAUGGCAGUAGGGCUGGGCGAUAUGGGAAAAAGUUAUAUUUUGAUUUUUCCCCCCCAAAAUUUCCGAUUUCGAUUUUAUAUCACGAUAUGAACAAAAUCACAAUUUUUGUAUAAUUUAUUUUUAUUUUCUGGUAAAAAAGAAAAUGUAAUACACAAAAACAAAUGUAAUACACAAAAACAGCUUAACAAGCUCUUAGGUUUCAAAGAACAAAUUCUAGCAGCUUUAAAAAACAACAACGAAAAACAUGAAGUGCAUUUAACUUUAAGUGCUGCAAUGAAA
Molecule: long non-coding RNA, 2076 nt
Organism: Gadus chalcogrammus (walleye pollock)
Lineage: Eukaryota; Metazoa; Chordata; Actinopteri; Gadiformes; Gadidae
Exons: 2
Source: RefSeq, a predicted model, not a curated record